AACGAACGCUGGCGGCAUGCCUAACACACGCAAGUCGAACGAGACCUUCGGGUCUAGUGGCGCACGGGUGCGUAACGCAUGGGAACCUGCCCUUAGGUUCGGAAUAACUCCCCGAAAGGGGUGCUAAUACCGGAUAAUGUCUUCGGACCAAAGAUUUAUCGCCUUUGGAUGGGCCCGCGUUGGAUUAGCUUGUUGGUAGGGUAAAAGCCUACCAAGGCGACGAUCCAUAGCUGGUCUGAGAGGAUGAUCAGCCACACUGGGACUGAGACACGGCCCAGACUCCUACGGGAGGCAGCAGUGGGGAAUAUUGGACAAUGGGCGAAAGCCUGAUCCAGCAAUGCCGCGUGAGUGAUGAAGGCCUUAGGGUUGUAAAGCUCUUUUACCCGGGAUGAUAAUGACAGUACCGGGAGAAUAAGCUCCGGCUAACUCCGUG
RNAcentral lists this ribosomal RNA (433 nucleotides) under uncultured bacterium. RNAcentral describes it as "partial 16S ribosomal RNA". It matches the Rfam family "Bacterial small subunit ribosomal RNA", at positions 29 to 507 of the family's 1533-position model. The record is from RNAcentral.